UGGCAUUCCUCUGAAGCUUCAUCUGUUGAUGAUAAGCAAAAUUCUUUUUAAUUUCUCAAAAACUAGGAUGACAAGCCAGACGCUAUGCAAUCAGGUACAGACAUGUGAUUUGAGUUAUGGUAGUUAAUGUUUUCCAGUAAACAUAUUCAGACUUAUUUGGGAGAAAAGAUAAGAGCCUCGAAGCACUUAGACCCUGCUACAAACCCCUGGGAGAGGGUUUCUGCCACCGUAGAUUUGCCACUUAUAGACAAUCAGUCCAUUUUGGGGGUUCUUUGAUUCUUCACACCGAAGCCCUCCUUCUUUCUGGUUCAUUGCCAUAGUCAAGCUAAACAUCCACAAAUUCAGCUGUAUCAAAUCCACAGCUGAAAGCAUUCCACAAAGAGAGAAUGGUAUUAGGAAAAGAGAACGGAAGGUGGCCCAGCAGGACACGCCACUCAAGGCAAACAUGUCAAUGGGAUCGCAGUACCCCAUCUGCACGCGCAGGGUGCUCCCGCCUGUCACUCUAGGAGACUGAGAGCGCCGUUUCUGACUGCAUAUCUGGAUCAAGGGCAUCUUCCCGACCCAGGGGUCGAGCCUGGGUCUCCUGCACUGGUAAGCGGCUCUUCACCACUGAGAUCAGGGAACCCGAGAGUCAGUGUGUGACUGGUGCAAAUGCUAGAAGAGGCUGUAAGGAAACGAGCACUGGCUCCGCUAACGUGGUAAGUGUUUUUGUGAUGUUUUUCUCGGUUAAGUCUCAGGACCUCCUACGCGACCGGCGCUAUCAUCCAUGCCCUGCCUCCUCCCGGCAGGUGCCAUCCUCCGAGAAGUUUGGAAAGGCUGGGAGCGCCCUCCGGGGAGGCCUGGGUACACCAACCCUCUGCAAGCAGGUACCACGAGGGUGGGCACAGGCCAUUCCCCACCU
Cervus elaphus (red deer) is the source of this 901-nucleotide long non-coding RNA. RefSeq lists it as uncharacterized. NCBI's taxonomy places the organism in Eukaryota, Metazoa, Chordata, Mammalia, Artiodactyla, Cervidae. The transcript has 3 exons. The record is from RefSeq and is a predicted model, not a curated record.